AGUCGACGGUAAGCUCCAGCUUGCUGGGGUACACGAGUGGCGAACGGGUGAGUAACACGUGGGUGACCUGCCCUGCACUUCGGGAUAAGCCUGGGAAACUGGGUCUAAUACCGGAUAGGACCGCACCGUGAGGGUGUGGUGGAAAGUUUUUUCGGUGUGGGAUGGGCCCGCGGCCUAUCAGCUUGUUGGUGGGGUAAUGGCCUACCAAGGCGGCGACGGGUAGCCGGCCUGAGAGGGUGGACGGCCACAUUGGGACUGAGACACGGCCCAGACUCCUACGGGAGGCAGCAGUGGGGAAUAUUGCACAAUGGGCGGAAGCCUGAUGCAGCGACGCCGCGUGGGGGAUGACGGCCUUCGGGUUGUAAACUCCUUUCACCAUCGACGAAGGGUUUCUGACGGUAGAUGGAGAAGAAGCACCGGCUAACUACGUGCCAGCAGCCGCGGUAAUACGUAGGGUGCGAGCGUUGUCCGGAAUUACUGGGCGUAAAGAGCUCGUAGGUGGUUUGUCGCGUCGUCUGUGAAAUUCCGGGGCUUAACUCCGGGCGUGCAGGCGAUACGGGCAUAACUUGAGUACUGUAGGGGAGACUGGAAUUCCUGGUGUAGCGGUGAAAUGCGCAGAUAUCAGGAGGAACACCGGUGGCGAAGGCGGGUCUCUGGGCAGUAACUGACGCUGAGGAGCGAAAGCAUGGGGAGCGAACAGGAUUAGAUACCCUGGUAGUCCAUGCCGUAAACGGUGGGCGCUAGGUGUGGGUUCCUUCCACGGGAUCCGUGCCGUAGCUAACGCAUUUAGCGCCCCGCCUGGGGAGUACGGCC
Molecule: ribosomal RNA, 813 nt
Filed under: Corynebacterium sp. HFH0081
Lineage: Bacteria; Bacillati; Actinomycetota; Actinomycetes; Mycobacteriales; Corynebacteriaceae
Description: bacterial SSU rRNA
Rfam family: Bacterial small subunit ribosomal RNA
Source: RNAcentral